RNAcentral lists this ribosomal RNA (727 nucleotides) under uncultured bacterium. Its description in RNAcentral is "bacterial SSU rRNA". It matches the Rfam family "Bacterial small subunit ribosomal RNA", at positions 104 to 832 of the family's 1533-position model. The record is from RNAcentral.
GGGUGAGUAACGCGUAUGCAACCUGCCCUUCACAGGGGGAUAACCGGGAGAAAUUCCGACUAAUACCGCAUACGUCCUCCGGGGGCACCCCUGGGGGAUGAAAGAGUUAUCGGUGAAGGAUGGGCAUGCGUGAUAUUAGGUAGUUGGCGGGGCAACGGCCCACCAAGCCCACGAUAUCUAGGGGUUCUGAGAGGAAGGUCCCCCACAUUGGUACUGAGACACGGACCAAACUCCUACGGGAGGCAGCAGUGAGGAAUAUUGGUCAAUGGACGAGAGUCUGAACCAGCCAAGUCGCGUGAAGGAAGACGGAUCUAUGGUUUGUAAACUUCUUUAGUGCGGGAACAAAGCGGCGUCGAGACGCCUGAUGAGUGUACCGCAAGAAUAAGCAUCGGCUAACUCCGUGCCAGCAGCCGCGGUAAUACGGAGGAUGCGAGCGUUAUCCGGAUUUAUUGGGUUUAAAGGGAGCGCAGGCUGCGAGGCAAGUCAGCGGUCAAAUGUCGGGGCUCAACCCCGGCCUGCCGUUGAAACUGUCCUGCUAGAGUUCGAGUGAGGUAUGCGGAAUGCGUUGUGUAGCGGUGAAAUGCAUAGAUAUGACGCAGAACUCCGAUUGCGAAGGCAGCAUACCAACUCGCGACUGACGCUGAGGCUCGAAAGCGUGGGUAUCGAACAGGAUUAGAUACCCUGGUAGUCCACGCAGUAAACGAUGAAUACUAACUGUUCGGAGGGC